Molecule: transfer RNA, 77 nt
Filed under: Oligosphaera ethanolica
Lineage: Bacteria; Pseudomonadati; Lentisphaerota; Oligosphaeria; Oligosphaerales; Oligosphaeraceae
Description: tRNA-Arg
Rfam family: tRNA
About the family: Transfer RNA (tRNA) molecules are approximately 80 nucleotides in length.
Source: RNAcentral
GUACCCGUAGCUCAGUUGGAUAGAGCGACUGCCUCCGGAGCAGUAGGUCGUGAGUUCGAACCUCGCCGGGUACACCA